CACACGACAAAGCGUGAGGACUGGCGGACCAGGCACCCGUCCUCCUGACCUCUGGCUCAGGGGUGCUCCCAGAGAGGUGCCUCCUGGUCCACCCCGCGCCCGGGACAGGAGCCCAGAUGAAGCCCCACUCAGCCAGGUGAUAAGAAGACAAAGCUGGAGUGCGGUGGGGCAGCAGAGCUUGGACUUGGACAUCACCCUCCGACCCGUGCUAAGAGCUCCCGCAGGAUAAGGAGACAGAGGCUCAGAAAGGUUAAGGAUUGUGUGGAGAGCCAAGUGGGCUAGCUCCAGAGUGGGCACCCCUGAAUAUUUCUCUGCUGCCUCUGGAAGGGUCAGAUUCUCCAGAUAAAGGACACCAGCACUGCCCUCCCAAGCAACCUGAAUCUCAGGA
Molecule: non-coding RNA, 388 nt
Organism: Leptonychotes weddellii (Weddell seal)
Lineage: Eukaryota; Metazoa; Chordata; Mammalia; Carnivora; Phocidae
Source: RefSeq, a predicted model, not a curated record